This 220-nucleotide ribosomal RNA is filed under the name uncultured bacterium. Its description in RNAcentral is "partial 16S ribosomal RNA". It matches the Rfam family "Bacterial small subunit ribosomal RNA", at positions 118 to 334 of the family's 1533-position model. The record is from RNAcentral.
UGGGUACCUACCUGUGAGUGAGGGAUACCGGACAGAAAUGGCCGACAAGCCCGCAUACGCCCUUUUUUCUGUCAAGGAGGGAGAGGAAAGCUCCGCAAGGGGCGCUCAGAGAUGGGCCUGUGGCCGAUUAGCUAGCUGGUGGGGUAAGAGCCUACCAGGGCGACGAUCGGUAGCUGGUCUGAGAGGACGAGCAGCCACACUGGGAUUGAGAACGGCCCAG